RNAcentral lists this ribosomal RNA (92 nucleotides) under Pagrus pagrus (common seabream). RNAcentral's name for it is "partial 5.8S ribosomal RNA". It matches the Rfam family "5.8S ribosomal RNA", at positions 1 to 92 of the family's 154-position model. Rfam says of the family: 5.8S ribosomal RNA (5.8S rRNA) is a component of the large subunit of the eukaryotic ribosome. It is transcribed by RNA polymerase I as part of the 45S precursor that also contains 18S and 28S rRNA. Functionally, it is thought that 5.8S rRNA may be involved in ribosome translocation. RNAcentral also lists the same sequence under 9 other names. Lineage: Eukaryota; Metazoa; Chordata; Actinopteri; Spariformes; Sparidae. The record is from RNAcentral.
CAACUCUUAGCGGUGGAUCACUCGGCUCGUGCGUCGAUGAAGAACGCAGCUAGCUGCGAGAACUAAUGUGAAUUGCAGGACACAUUGAUCAU